GACGUCGAUAUUCGACGUCAUAAACACGAUCAACUUUGGUGUUUAUGACGUCGAUAUUCGACGUCAUAAACACGAUCAACUUUGGUGUUUAUGACGUCGAUAUUCGACGUCAUAAACACGAUCAACUUUGGUAUUUAUGACAUCGACGUUAUAAACACGAUCAACUUUGGUGUUUAUGACAUCGAUAUUCGACGUCAUCAACAAGAUUAACUUUGGUGUUUAUGACGUCGAUAUUAGACGUC
This is a non-coding RNA of Paramuricea clavata, 242 nucleotides long. The record is from the annotation of a GenBank genome assembly. Lineage: Eukaryota; Metazoa; Cnidaria; Anthozoa; Malacalcyonacea; Plexauridae.